UUAGCGGCGGACGGGUGAGUAACACGUGGGUAACCUGCCCAUAAGACUGGGAUAACUCCGGGAAACCGGGGCUAAUACCGGAUAACAUUUUGAACCGCAUGGUUCGAAAUUGAAAGGCGGCUUCGGCUGUCACUUAUGGAUGGACCCGCGUCGCAUUAUCUAUUUGGUGAGGUAACGGCUCACCAAGGCAACGAUGCGUAGCCGACCUGAGAGGGUGAUCGGCCACACUGGGACUGAGACACGGCCCACACUCCUACGGGAGGCAGCAGUAGGGAAUCUUCCGCAAUGGACGAAAGUCUGACAGAGCAACGCCGCGUGAGUGAUGAAGGCUUUCGGGUCGUAAAACUCUGUUGUUAGGGAAGAACAAGUGCUAGUUGAAUAAUCUGGCACCUUGACGGUACCUAACCAAAAAGCCACGGCUAACUACGUGCCAGCAGCCGCGGUAAUACGUAGGUGGCAAGCGUUAUCCGGAAUUAUUGGGCGUAAAGCGCGCGCAGGUGGUUUCUUAAGUCUGAUGUGAAAGCCCACGGCUCAACCGUGGAGGGUCAUUGGAAACUGGGAGACUUGAGUGCAAAAGAGGAAAGUGGAAUUCCAUGUGUAGCGGUGAAAUGCGUAAAGAUAUGGAGGAACACCAGUGGCGAAGGCGACUUUCUGGUCUGUAACUGACACUGAGGCGCGAAAAAGCGUGGGGAGCAAACAGGAUUAGAUACCCUGGUAGUCCACGCCGUAAACGAUGAGUGCUAAGUGUUAGAGGGUUUCCGCCCUUUAGUGCUGAAGUUAACGCAUUAAGCACUCCGCC
This 799-nucleotide ribosomal RNA is filed under the name Bacillus cereus. Its description in RNAcentral is "bacterial SSU rRNA". It matches the Rfam family "Bacterial small subunit ribosomal RNA", at positions 92 to 873 of the family's 1533-position model. The record is from RNAcentral. Lineage: Bacteria; Bacillati; Bacillota; Bacilli; Caryophanales; Bacillaceae.